AUUGCUAUACUGCUCUUUGGAUCAUUAUACUCUCCUGGAGGAGAGAUCUAUUCACUGGGAGCUGGAUUCCAGGUGUUGGUACAGGGUGGGCAUGCAUGGCGAGACCCCAGCCAGGCUGUGGAGGCUAAGGGGGGGAGGUGCGGUGGUUAUGGUGUGUGGUGCGGUGCUUAUAGUACUCGUGAUACUAGGAAGCGUGAUUGGUG
Molecule: non-coding RNA, 203 nt
Organism: Pelobates cultripes (western spadefoot toad)
Lineage: Eukaryota; Metazoa; Chordata; Amphibia; Anura; Pelobatidae
Source: the annotation of a GenBank genome assembly